Molecule: long non-coding RNA, 1224 nt
Filed under: Penaeus japonicus
Lineage: Eukaryota; Metazoa; Arthropoda; Malacostraca; Decapoda; Penaeidae
Description: uncharacterized LOC122258442
Source: RNAcentral
UAUUGAUAGUUUAUAAAUAUUUAUAUUGGAAUUUGUCCAUUACCCCUUACUAAAAUAAUUAUGAAUCAUGUAAUCAUGUAUAUACAUUUAAUUUAUUUUUUUUUUUUUUUACGAUGAGCAUAGGCACACAUAUUAAAGAAAAUUGAAAACGUACAAGAAAGUGUGGUGAUCUAAUAAAUUCAAUGUUUCAGGUGAGCGACAUGAACCCAAUGUCAUCACUGCAUGAAGAGCAAGAGCCAAUAAGGUGAGCUGGAUGAACCCAAUGCCAUUACUGCAUGGAGAUCAAAGGCCAACAAGGUGAGCGGGAUGAACCCAAUGUCAUCACUGCAUGGAGAUCAAAGACCAACAAGGUGAGCGGAAUGAACCCAAUGUCAUGGAGAGCAAGAGCCAACAAGGUAAUGUUUAAAUAAAUGUUACAGUAAGAGACACUGUGGAUAUAGCAAGAGAUGAAGGAAAAGGAAUGUUUUUUUUUUUAUGUUAUUUCUUAUUUUAGUUUUGUAAUUUAUUAAAUGGAAAUAUAGAUACUGAAUGUACCUUUAUAGACAGUGGAUUCAGUUAUUAUUAGGGGAUUUAAAGGCCUCUUUUGUUUUAAGUACUACUUGUAUAUCAUGUUAUGAAAAAAAAAAGAAGUGUCAAAGCCAGUUUGGAUUAAUUCAUAUCUAUAUAACUAUCUAUUUAAACCAUUUUUAUGUCUAUUGGUUUCUUGCAUCCUGUGUGCUUAAUAUACAAUGCUAAACUAUUGUUUGUUUAAUCAGUAAAUAUAAUAUUUUGCUGUUUUCUUAGAACUGUAAACUUGACAAACAAACAUUUCCAUUACACGCUGUUUUACACUCUAUUAUGAAGGGAUGCAUGACAACUUUGUCAACCUUUUUAAAACUUCUAAUGCUUUGUGAUGCAUUUGAUUUUCUGUGCACUUUGAAUUUGAUUGUUGUUUUAUAGUGCAUUCUAAACUCUUUGGAUCUUAUUAACUAGCUCCUUGACAUUUGUUAAUGUUAUUUGUUUAUAAAAAUAAAGAGAUAUGCCAAAAAAUUGUUUUAAUAUCAUUUAACUAUUCUGGUUAUCCUAUAUUUUACUCAUAAACCAUGUUUUAAGCACAAAGAAUGAAACGAUGGAAAAAGGAUAAUAUCUGUUGUAAAAGAGUAAUACAGAUUACAAUAUUCCUAAAUACAAAAUUCAUAUUAUAAUUGAAAAUCUUGGGGAUAUAUAAAUGAAAAGAGAGAGAAA